This 234-nucleotide ribosomal RNA is filed under the name uncultured Methanomicrobiales archaeon. RNAcentral describes it as "partial 16S ribosomal RNA". It matches the Rfam family "Archaeal small subunit ribosomal RNA", at positions 1104 to 1338 of the family's 1478-position model. Lineage: Archaea; Methanobacteriati; Methanobacteriota; Methanomicrobia; Methanomicrobiales. The record is from RNAcentral.
ACCGCCUCUGCUAAAGAGGAGGAAGGAAUGGGCAACGGUAGGUCAGCAUGCCCCGAAUUAUCUGGGCUACACGCGGGCUACAAUGGGUGGGACAAUGGGUAUCGACACCGAAAGGUGAAGGCAAUCUCCUAAACCCAUCCUUAGUUCGGAUUGUGGGCUGCAACUCGCCCACAUGAAGCUGGAAUCUGUAGUAAUCGUGUUUCAAAUAGCACGGUGAAUAUGUCCCUGCUCCUU